Molecule: ribosomal RNA, 229 nt
Filed under: uncultured bacterium
Lineage: Bacteria
Description: partial 16S ribosomal RNA
Rfam family: Bacterial small subunit ribosomal RNA
Source: RNAcentral
UGCGUAGGCGGGCUAACAAGUCAGUGGUGAAAUCUUUCGGCUCAACCGAGAAACUGCCAUUGAUACUGUUAGUCUUGAGUUCGGUUGAGGUAGGCGGAAUGUGUAAUGUAGCGGUGAAAUGCUUAGAUAUUACACAGAACACCAAUUGCGUAGGCAGCUUACUAGACCGACACUGACGCUGAGGCACGAAAGCGUGGGGAGCGAACAGGAUUAGAUACCCUGGUAGUCC